CAGUAGCCGCGGUAAUACGAAGGGGGCUAGCGUUGCUCGGAAUCACUGGGCGUAAAGGGUGCGUAGGCGGGUCUUUAAGUCAGGGGUGAAAUCCUGGAGCUCAACUCCAGAACUGCCUUUGAUACUGAAGAUCUUGAGUUCGGGGGAGGUGAGUGGAACUGCGAGUGUAGAGGUGAAAUUCGUAGAUAUUCGCAAGAACACCAGUGGCGAAGGCGGCUUACUGGCUCAUUCUAGACGCUGAGGUGCGAAAGCGUGGGGAGCAAACAGGAUUAGAUACCCCGGUAGUCCCUGUCUCUUAUAA
RNAcentral lists this ribosomal RNA (301 nucleotides) under uncultured bacterium. Its description in RNAcentral is "partial 16S ribosomal RNA". It matches the Rfam family "Bacterial small subunit ribosomal RNA", at positions 509 to 809 of the family's 1533-position model. The record is from RNAcentral.